Molecule: ribosomal RNA, 409 nt
Filed under: bacterium
Lineage: Bacteria
Description: partial 16S ribosomal RNA
Rfam family: Bacterial small subunit ribosomal RNA
Source: RNAcentral
UGGGGAAUAUUGCACAAUGGGCGAAAGCCUGAUGCAGCGACGCCGCGUGAGGGAUGACGGCCUUCGGGUUGUAAACCUCUUUCAGCAGGGACGAAGCGCAAGUGACGGUACCUGCAGAAGAAGCACCGGCUAACUACGUGCCAGCAGCCGCGGUAAUACGUAGGGUGCAAGCGUUGUCCGGAAUUACUGGGCGUAAAGAGUUCGUAGGCGGUUUGUCGCGUCGUUUGUGAAAACCAGCAGCUCAACUGCUGGCUUGCAGGCGAUACGGGCAGACUUGAGUACUGCAGGGGAGACUGGAAUUCCUGGUGUAGCGGUGAAAUGCGCAGAGAUCAGGAGGAACACCGGUGGCGAAGGCGGGUCUCUGGGCAGUAACUGACGCUGAGGAACGAAAGCGUGGGUAGCGAACAGG